GACGAACGCUGGCGGCGUGCUUAACACAUGCAGGUCGAACGGAAAGGCCCUGCUUUUGUGGGGUGCUCGAGUGGCGAACGGGUGAGUAACACGUGAGUAACCUGCCCUUGACUUUGGGAUAACUUCAGGAAACUGGGGCUAAUACCGGAUAGGAGCUCCUGCUGCAUGGUGGGGGUUGGAAAGUUUCGGCGGUUGGGGAUGGACUCGCGGCUUAUCAGCUUGUUGGUGGGGUAGUGGCUUACCAAGGCUUUGACGGGUAGCCGGCCUGAGAGGGUGACCGGCCACAUUGGGACUGAGAUACGGCCCAGACUCCUACGGGAGGCAGCAGUGGGGAAUAUUGCACAAUGGGCGGAAGCCUGAUGCAGCAACGCCGCGUGCGGGAUGACGGCCUUCGGGUUGUAAACCGCUUUCGCCUGUGACGAAGCGUGAGUGACGGUAAUGGGUAAAGAAGCACCGGCUAACUACGUGC
RNAcentral lists this ribosomal RNA (469 nucleotides) under uncultured bacterium. Its description in RNAcentral is "partial 16S ribosomal RNA". It matches the Rfam family "Bacterial small subunit ribosomal RNA", at positions 28 to 508 of the family's 1533-position model. The record is from RNAcentral.